Molecule: ribosomal RNA, 482 nt
Filed under: uncultured bacterium
Lineage: Bacteria
Description: bacterial SSU rRNA
Rfam family: Bacterial small subunit ribosomal RNA
Source: RNAcentral
AUUGAACGCUGGCGGAAUGCUUUACACAUGCAAGUCGAGCGGCAGGCCGGGGCAACCUGGCGGCGAGCGGCGAACGGGUGAGUAAUACAUCGGAACGUGCCCAGACGUGGGGGAUAACUACUCGAAAGAGUGGCUAAUACCGCAUACGAUCUAAGGAUGAAAGCGGGGGAUCGCAAGACCUCGCGCGUUUGGAGCGGCCGAUGGCAGAUUAGGUAGUUGGUGGGGUAAAGGCUUACCAAGCCCGCGAUCUGUAGCUGGUCUGAGAGGAUGAUCAGCCACACUGGGACUGAGACACGGCCCAGACUCCUACGGGAGGCAGCAGUGGGGAAUUUUGGACAAUGGGCGAAAGCCUGAUCCAGCCAUUCCGCGUGCAGGAUGAAGGCCCUCGGGUUGUAAACUGCUUUUGUACAGAACGAAAAAGCUCUUUCUAAUACAGAGAGUCCAUGACGGUACUGUAAGAAUAAGCACCGGCUAACUACGUG